RNAcentral lists this ribosomal RNA (407 nucleotides) under uncultured bacterium. RNAcentral describes it as "bacterial SSU rRNA". It matches the Rfam family "Bacterial small subunit ribosomal RNA", at positions 34 to 445 of the family's 1533-position model. The record is from RNAcentral.
CGCUGGCGGCAUGCCUUACACAUGCAAGUCGAACGGUAACAGGUCUUCGGAUGCUGACGAGUGGCGAACGGGUGAGUAAUACAUCGGAACGUGCCCGAGAGUGGGGGAUAACGGAGCGAAAGCUUUGCUAAUACCGCAUACGAUCUACGGAUGAAAGCAGGGGACCGCAAGGCCUUGCGCUCAUGGAGCGGCCGAUGGCAGAUUAGGUAGUUGGUGGGAUAAAAGCUUACCAAGCCGACGAUCUGUAGCUGGUCUGAGAGGACGACCAGCCACACUGGGACUGAGACACGGCCCAGACUCCUACGGGAGGCAGCAGUGGGGAAUUUUGGACAAUGGGCGCAAGCCUGAUCCAGCCAUGCCGCGUGCAGGAUGAAGGCCUUCGGGUUGUAAACUGCUUUUGUACGGAA